Pyrus x bretschneideri (Chinese white pear) is the source of this 103-nucleotide small nuclear RNA. The record is from RefSeq and is a predicted model, not a curated record. NCBI's taxonomy places the organism in Eukaryota, Viridiplantae, Streptophyta, Magnoliopsida, Rosales, Rosaceae.
GUCCCUUCGGGGACAUCCGAUAAAAUUAGAACAACAUAGAGAAGAUUACCGUGGCCUCUGGGUAAGGAUGACACGCAUAAACGGAGAAUCAAUCUCAAGCGAG